CCUAGUGUCAGCGUGUUAUUGGGGAUAGGUAUGUGGGGUGGUUGUUGUCCAAGGUUCCGAAUGCCCAUAUGGCGACUAUACACCAGUCAUGUUUAUUCUGUUAUUAUUGCUGGCCACUAUCAUCCCAAAAGUUGAAAGGAGCAGAUAAUCCACUGAUCUAUCCAUCAUAAGAAACCUUUCAUAGCAUCCCAUUAUAACAUCACUUCUAAGAUAAACCGUCUACCACUCUCUUAUUACAUCUAGA
Non-coding RNA from Pelobates cultripes (western spadefoot toad), 244 nucleotides. The record is from the annotation of a GenBank genome assembly. Lineage: Eukaryota; Metazoa; Chordata; Amphibia; Anura; Pelobatidae.